RNAcentral lists this ribosomal RNA (334 nucleotides) under uncultured bacterium. Its description in RNAcentral is "bacterial SSU rRNA". It matches the Rfam family "Bacterial small subunit ribosomal RNA", at positions 568 to 898 of the family's 1533-position model. The record is from RNAcentral.
CGUGUAGGCGGUGCGGUAAGUUGGGCGUGAAAUCCCCGGGCUUAACCCGGGGGGCGGUUCAAGACUGCCGCGCUAGGGUGGCGGGAGGAGGGCGAGUGGAAUUCCCGGUCGUAGCGGUGAAAUAGCGUAGAUAUCGGGAGGGAACACCUGCGGCGAAGGCGGCUGCCUGGACCGUAACCGACGCUGAGGCGCGAAAGCUAGGGGAGCAAACAGGAUUAGAUACCCUGGUAGUCCUAGCCCUAAACGUUGAACACUGGGUGUAGCCCCUCACGGGGCGUGUGCCGAAGCUAACGCAUUAAGUGUUCCGCCUGGGGAGUACGGUCGCAAGGCUGAA